This 432-nucleotide ribosomal RNA is filed under the name uncultured bacterium. Its description in RNAcentral is "partial 16S ribosomal RNA". It matches the Rfam family "Bacterial small subunit ribosomal RNA", at positions 29 to 506 of the family's 1533-position model. The record is from RNAcentral.
AACGAACGCUGGCGGCAUGCCUAACACAUGCAAGUCGAACGAUGCUUUCGGGCAUAGUGGCGCACGGGUGCGUAACGCGUGGGAAUCUGCCCUGGGGUUCGGGAUAACAGCGGGAAACUGCUGCUAAUACCGGAUGAUAUCGCGAGAUCAAAGAUUUAUCGCCCUGGGAUGAGCCCGCGUCGGAUUAGGUAGUUGGUGGGGUAAGAGCCUACCAAGCCGACGAUCCGUAGCUGGUCUGAGAGGAUGAUCAGCCACACUGGGACUGAGACACGGCCCAGACUCCUACGGGAGGCAGCAGUGGGGAAUAUUGGACAAUGGGCGCAAGCCUGAUCCAGCAAUGCCGCGUGAGUGAUGAAGGCCUUAGGGUUGUAAAGCUCUUUUACCCGGGAUGAUAAUGACAGUACCGGGAGAAUAAGCCCCGGCGAACUCCGU